This 89-nucleotide ribosomal RNA is filed under the name uncultured archaeon. RNAcentral's name for it is "partial 16S ribosomal RNA". The record is from RNAcentral.
CUCCCUCGUUGCUGAUCUCAGGUUCGAUAAUGCCAAUAUCGCACCGCCUCGCCUAAAACCAACUUCGAUGAAGCGACGGGCGGUGUGUG